Molecule: ribosomal RNA, 500 nt
Filed under: uncultured bacterium
Lineage: Bacteria
Description: partial 16S ribosomal RNA
Rfam family: Bacterial small subunit ribosomal RNA
Source: RNAcentral
AUUGAACGCUGGCGGCAGGCCUAACACAUGCAAGUCGAGCGGAUGACGGGAGCUUGCUCCUUGAUUCAGCGGCGGACGGGUGAGUAAUGCCUAGGAAUCUGCCUGGUAGUGGGGGACAACGUUUCGAAAGGAACGCUAAUACCGCAUACGUCCUACGGGAGAAAGCAGGGGACCUUCGGGCCUUGCGCUAUCAGAUGAGCCUAGGUCGGAUUAGCUAGUUGGUGGGGUAAUGGCUCACCAAGGCGACGAUCCGUAACUGGUCUGAGAGGAUGAUUAGUCACACUGGAACUGAGACACGGUCCAGACUCCUACGGGAGGCAGCAGUGGGGAAUAUUUGACAAUGGGCGAAAGCCUGAUCCAGGCAUGCCGCGUGUGUGAAGAAGGUCUUCGGAUUGUAAAGCACUUUAAGUUGGGAGGAAGGGCAGUAAGUUAAUACCUUGCUGUUUUGACGUUACCGGCAGAAUAAGCACCGGCUAACUCUGUGCCAGCCGCCGCGGUAA